GGUAAGUACUUCAUAAGUUGUUUUCAGACACAGUUCAUUCUCACUGAAGAAUGCACAUCUGCUCCAGGAGUCAUUUGCCAAAAUCACCCUGUUUCCAUGAAAAUGUCAAAGAUGGUGUUAACCUUGCUUGGUGCUAAUAACUGAAAUCCAUAAAUAAUAAAUAUAUAAAUGUACACACAUACAUGUAUGCACACAUGCCCACAUAGACACACACACGCAUAUCUACAAUAAGGUGGGCAUCACAAAAGAAACUUGUCUAGUAAUGUGCAGAAUUCCGACUAAAAUGCCCUUGUCUUUCCUUCCAUGCAAAUGUACCUUCCAGGGUAGUUAUGAUCCCUAGAGCUGUGGUCAGCAUUUGUGUGAACAACAAGCCUCUGUGCCGGCUUGCUGAAGCCUCUUAGUGAACUUUCCCUGUCACAUCUGCUUAGGUUGAUGCUCAGGAUCUCUGGGGGCUGGUUGACAUCAAAAGUUGUUGAUAACAGAGUAUGGAGGUUUCAUUCAUAUCUUUUGUUAAUUUUUCAAAUAAAAUAGGCUAACAUUUAUUGUUAUUGUCAUUAUUUCUUGUUAAUAUGUUUGGUGUUUUUCUCUCCAAGAUCAAGGAAAAACAUUAAUAGGCCAAGCAAAUUAUUUUAGGCAAUUCAGCUUGAAAUGUUUAUUUGUGUAAGACAUUUUGCAGUUUUGAGUGAUAAUGAAAUUGUUUUGCUCAUAAAAUAACAGUCUUCAUGCCUGUAUUGCUUCUACCAUCUGCAAAUAGCAGUACUGUCGUAAUCUAUUCCUGAAGCCCCCACACGCAGCAGUUUGAUUCAGAUUCUACACAGUUCCCCUUAAGUGAUUCUUCUAGUUCAUUCUCAUAAAGAGUGUCAGAGUAAACUUUCUUAAACUAUAAAGUUCUUUGUUAAAAAAUUGUAAUUCCUCAGUUUGUUUGUUAAACAAAGUUAAACAUUUUUAAUGAACCUGUAUACGUUUGGUAUUCUAGGCAACCACUCUCCCUCAGAGACACAUGUUAAAUUAAAAGAAAAUUAUUUGACAUUGUUUUCAUAAAGUAUAUUUUGAUCAUGUUUUUCCUUCUUCAAACUCUUAUAUCAUCCCUGACCUUCCUAGGUACCCCAUUUCAUUCUUUCUCUCUUUCUUUCUCUCGUUCUCUCCCCUUUAUCCCUCUCCCUCUCAGAAACAAUAACAAUAGAAAUGGAACC
Molecule: long non-coding RNA, 1193 nt
Filed under: Mus musculus (house mouse)
Lineage: Eukaryota; Metazoa; Chordata; Mammalia; Rodentia; Muridae
Description: long non-coding RNA chr1:139054620-139055813
Source: RNAcentral